UACGGAGGGUGCAAGCGUUGCUCGGAAUUAUUGGGCGUAAAGGGUAGGUAGGUGGUCUCAUUUGUCAGGGGUGAAAGCCUUGGGCUUAACCCAAGAAGUGCCCCUGAAACGGUGAGACUUGAGUUCUGGAGAGGGUCGUGGAAUUCCCGGUGUAGCGGUGAAAUGCGUAGAGAUCGGGAGGAACACCAGAGGCGAAGGCGGCGACCUGGACAGAUACUGACACUCAACUACGAAAGCGUGGGGAGCAAAUAGG
Molecule: ribosomal RNA, 253 nt
Filed under: uncultured bacterium
Lineage: Bacteria
Description: partial 16S ribosomal RNA
Rfam family: Bacterial small subunit ribosomal RNA
Source: RNAcentral